CAAUAAAAGAGUGUGAACAUUGGUCCUGAAAGGGUAAGGUGGAGAAAAGGUCUGGAAGUCCCUAAUGCAUGGAUUUUAUUAGAGGUUAGGUAGGUCCCCUUUCUCUGACCUCUUUCUUUUAUUCUUUUUCAGUAGCUGCUACCAAUAACUGUUAAAGACAUGAUAUUGUCUUGAUGGGCUUUUGAUUUGACUCAGUGCAGACACUCUUAGGAGGUUUAAUGGACCGGCUCCUCUUUGGAACAAUUCCAAUGUCUUCAAUGAAUAAGAAGCAGAAAUGAUUUCCUACAUGUCUGACAAUUCCUGCUUUGUUUCCAUUUCAGCAUUUCCUAAGGCUUAAAAGCAACUCUUAGCCUCUGAACUUUUCAUUUGAGUUCCUGUCUUGGUUCUCUUAGUUAUGCUCAGCAUUACAUUAAGACAAGCAUAAGGAAAAAAAUAUACAGUAUUGGUUUAUUAAAUUGUCACAACAAAUAGUGCCAAAUGAGGGGCUGCAAUUCCCAUCUGUCCUGGUGAUUGGAUGAGGAUGUACUUCAUUACUGCCACUGUGGACCUGGGCAGUUUGGAGCACUUGGCAGAGGGGGCAGAUCCCAGGAGCAGAGGUGGGAAGCCCUUGGAGCACUGGUACAAGGGCUGGGCACGGCUGAGUGACCGUGGCCAGCUGGGUCAGGCCCCAGCCCCUGAGGCUGCUCCCUCAGCCCCCAGCUGCUUCUGUAGAGGAGGGAGGGCCUGGAAGGUCAGGCCAGGUGUGUGUAUAAGUGUGUACUCAUAUACACAACCUCCCAAUUAAUAUCAUGGUUCUGUUUCGGUACAUUACAGGACACAGGCAGUGUUUCAAACCUUAAAAGUUGCAGACAAAUGGUAUAGCUUGCUGUGGAACUAAUUGAUUCUGAGUUUUGGUUUAGUCAUAUGAUGACUCCAUUUUAAGAUAGCACUAAAAUAAAUUAAACAUUUAUACUAUUUUUUUUUUUGCUUUUUAAUUUUAUUUAUUUGCUCUUCUUUUAAUUUCAGGGCUUCAGAAUAUAUUCACCACCUCCUGGGACCCUUUUGUGGGCUGUCAGUUCUGCAUUUUUUUUAGGUUACAAAUGAGUUUGCUCUGCAGGUUUGUAGCUUAAACCAGAACUGCUACUGGGAAAUGCAAAUGCAUGAAAUGAGAGACCCUCCAGGCACCACAUGAAUUCAUAGCACAGAUUGCCAGUGCCACCUAGAAAACAGAAUGAGAUCAAACACUAAUUCAUCCAUGUCUGCAGGAUGCUCUAGAAUCCAGCAUGGCUAAAAUUGCACACAUCCUUUUGAAAAUUUGAGUUACAGUUCUCCUAAACAGAAGGAUACAGACUGGCCAUCUCAAGGCAUUAUGAGACUUGUAAAUAUGCUUGCAUAUAUUUACUGCAUAUAUGUGUUUCUGUAGGCAGAUUUUGUUCUUAAUGUAAAUUGCUUUAAAAUUUUCUCAGCCUACAUUUAUUAACAGAUAUUCCUGUGCAAUGCAAUUCUGUCUGUGAGACCCAUUGGUGACCUUCCCUGGCAAACCAAGAUGCAAUCAGUGUGGUGAAAUCUGUACACUUUUCUACGAUCCCAGUAAGUAGAUUUAUGAUUUAAUAAUCAGGAAAAAAUCAGAUAAAGAAAACCCUCUGGCUCUGUCAACCUGCUAAGAGCACCUGAUUGCUCCAGAGCUCAGUGAGAAGUCACAGUUUAAUACACUCCACCUGGUGCUGCCUCACCAAUGCUGCUUUGUACCUCUCUAUUGCCCAGGAAGUCUGAGGUUGGUUUUAUUGUUCUGAGCCUUCUGAUUAUGCUCAAGCUAAAAUGAGGGAUUGCACAUUUCAAUUUGUGGUGACCCUGUCUUGUGAAAGGGCGUUGCUAUGAGCAAAAAUAGAAAUGAGGCUUGUGACCCUGUGUUUUAAAUCACUUAUUGUCACUACAGUGUAGAGUCUUGAUUUUGCAGAGCUUCUCUACCUGCACACUUAAAGGUAUGCUUAAGACCAUUUGUUUUAUCCAAAUAGAGCUAUGUAUUUAAACCCCAAUCUAUGCAUAGGAGCAUGGCUCAAUGAAGUUGUAAAGCAAAAUGGGAUAACUGAGGUUUCACAGCAAGCCAGAAUGAAUCUGUGACACAGUCGUAAACAGUAUACAAAUGAUGACACACAUCACAGCUAAAGUCAUAGGAGGAAAGGAACAUUUCUGGCACAAGGAAAAGAUUGACACUGACAGCUAGUGGGGGGAAAAUACAAAAAUCAGAAAUCACACCAACAACACACACAAAAGUUGAAGCUGUCACCAUGCUAAGAUCUCUAGAAAAUAAAAUAAGACACUCUCAGUCUGUCUAGCCAGCAUCAGAAAAUGAGGCAAAAACAUGAAACCAAAGAGGAGUAUAAAGUCACUCCAGCUGCUCCCAGAUGCCCCAAGCAGGGAAGGGGGAGAGAUUAAAUCAACUGUUUUGAAAGAGAGGGAAUCCAGUGCAUCCAAAAAAGGAAAAAAAGUAAAUUGAAGCCCACAUUAGUGCUACUGAAAAAUGGACAGUCUUUUUUUAAGGAGAACAUGAUCUGAGUACAAGUAAAAUGAGUUCUCUGUUAGAUUUGAUUUAAGAGAAAGAAAAAAGUUCAUGGACAGACCACAGGACCUAAAAUCCUGAUUUAAUUUUAACAAACUACAGUGAAUGAUGCAGAGGGAACAGAGAGAGGGAGCUAAGUAGAUGAGAGGUUAGUAUAGAUUUCAGAAAAAGUAACUUUUUCAGUAAUUUUAUUAUACCUAACACAGCACCUGUUACUGCUUGAGCCAUUUGCUUUCUCCUCUUUGUGAGCUUCAUAUUUAUUCUAGAAUGAUAUUAAGUUCUGUGUAUACAGAUGCUACAGGAUCUGAAAGAAUUAGGAGAAAUGUGUCAGAAGUCAUCAUUUGUUUCCUCAGCCAAAAGUGUCCAAAGAAAUGCUGGAUAUCCUAUUUCUUCAAAUGUUUGCUACCCCAGACACAGAACAGACAGCUGUGUAUGAGCUUGUCCUGGCAAAGGAGUGGAGAGGGUAACCUCAUCUACCCUUUCAGCCUCUGAGCUUUGAUGAUUCAUAUUUUGCAAGAGCAGCUUUGCUUAUAAAUAAGAGCAGGUUUAGCAAGUGAAACCGGUUAGCCUUCAAACAAUUAAUGCAUGCUUCCUAACAGAAGGCAGAGCUUGAACCCAAAGAGCAAACUGCUCUUGCUGUGAAUGCUUUCCAGAGUUUAAUUUCACAUGUAGGACCAGUAGCACUCACAGCAGGAAGGCGGAAUGAGCCAUGUGGGGAUGUUGGAAACUGGGAUGACAAAGCAUUGCAAAAGUACUCGUAACAUAAAUUGCUUAUCACUCUGUGCUUUGUUCUUCAAACAGAGAUGAUUUUGACACCGUAUCCUGUUUCAAGGGAAGAGGUGAACCAGGAGAGUGCUAGACCGAAAGCUAAUCCCAGCAGCAUUCUUGCCAUCCUGAAUGGCAGCACAAUUGUUUCUCACGCAAUGCUAUCACAGACAAGGAAGAAGAGCAGAUCACUGGUACAGUGCUCCAUGGCAGCCUGGGGAAUCCAGAGAUGGAGAAAUAAAGGGAUAUGGAUCUCUAAUUCAGAGCAGAUUGAAAAAACAAUGUCGGAAAAAGGAUCUGUAUUUAUACUCAUAAUACAGAACACAAGGAUCACUUCAUUCAGCAGCUGGAGACACAGGGAACAUCCAUAUCCUAGAUUUAGAAAGCUGAGAAGGCAUCACAGCCCAUCUCCUCCUGCUAGCACAGGAUGAUGAGGAGCUCCAGAUGCUCCUGGGGAUCACAUGCACCCUAGGAGGGCUCCUUUGAAGAGGGAGCAAUGGGGACCCUGCACAGUGGCUGGGCAAGCUGCCUUUCCUAGUCCAGCUGCCAGCAGAUCAGAGGAUCCCAUGAGCAGUGAUACCGACACCGGCAUGGCACAUCCCGGGGUGGCAGAGACACCACCACUCUGCAUUGGAAAUGCAUGAAGCAAAGGUGAGCAGCUACUUACAUCUGAUACAGCCUGAUGCAGGGGUGAGCUUGGCUGUGGCAAACAGCCUUUCCUCUGUUACUCUCAAUGCUCUAGUAUUUGUGCAUUGUAUGGGGCACAGAUCCAUGGAAAGCUUGAAGGUUACUGGCAAUCUGCUGGUCCAAACCUUUGGAAGCCACUCCUCGAGGAGUCCUCUCUAGGUGACCAUUGAAGAAAUUAUCAUUUUGCAAGAGAAAAAGCAAGACUAUCACCACCCAAGUGGCCUGAAAUGAGGUGAACUCAACUAAGUCACAGCAGAGCUCUGUCUGUAAUCCAUGCCUAGUCAUGUAAGUUAUUCUUAACUUCCAUUACAUAUGUACAAACAAGGAGGUGGCACUAUCACCUGUGGUACUCUUCUGGGUGCCUUCUCUUACCCAUAACUGCAUACAAGACUGUCUCAGACCAAGAAAUUGCUGAUUGUGCCUUGGAGUAACUGAGGCACACCCUGACACAAGGCAGUAAAUACUGGGCAGCUCAUACACAAUAACAUGUUGUUUAGAAAAAACUUGUCAGCCUACAUCACUACCUAGUAGCAAAGUUUUGGUUUCUACAUGCUAGGUAGACAAGAAGAGAUGGAGAAUUUGGGCUGGUUCUGUAGUAAAGAUCUGUCCUACUCAUGCAGAAACACUAUCCAAAUCACAGAGGAUCAGGAAAAUCAACUACAGGCUCCCUGAAUUUCUAUAUGAAGCAAUCACAGUUACACAACUCAUAAUUGAGUUUACUGCACUUCACUCUGUGUUCUUUAUUACAGUGUUGACUAAUGAAGUCUUACUUUAGAAUAAAACUCUGCUUCUGGUAACAUUGUGGUGUUAAUAUAAUUAUUCAUUGUCUGUGUGUUGUGCUUGUGCCAGUGCUGAAGAGCAGAUGUUACGAGUGAAAUCUGAAGAGUUUAUUAUAACCAAAAAUAAUUAGCUUCCUGUUCUGUAGGAACAAGUCUCUUGUCCACCAGACUAAUUAGAACUCCAGUCAGUCUUGUGUCAUGUUGCAACUAAAUCUCUGAAAUGUUAUUUUUUUAAGGUUCAAAGACUUGACAGCGAGGUAACUCAUCUGGAUAUCAUAUGAAAAGGCUGAC
Zonotrichia albicollis (white-throated sparrow) is the source of this 5061-nucleotide non-coding RNA. The record is from RefSeq and is a predicted model, not a curated record. Lineage: Eukaryota; Metazoa; Chordata; Aves; Passeriformes; Passerellidae.